This 468-nucleotide ribosomal RNA is filed under the name uncultured bacterium. RNAcentral's name for it is "partial 16S ribosomal RNA". It matches the Rfam family "Bacterial small subunit ribosomal RNA", at positions 28 to 523 of the family's 1533-position model. The record is from RNAcentral.
GAUGGACGCUGGCGGCGUGCCUAACACAUGCAAGUCGAGCGAUUCUCUUCGGAGAAGAGCGGCGGACGGGUGAGUAACGCGUGGGUAACCUGCCCUGUACACACGGAUAACAUACCGAAAGGUAUGCUAAGACGAGAUAAUAUGCUUUUGUCGCAUGGCAGAAGUAUCAAAGAUCCGGCGGUACAGCAUGGACCCGCGUCUGAUGAGCUAGUUGUUAAGGUAACGGCUUACCAAGGCGACGAUCAGUAGCCGACCUGAGAGGGCGAUCGGCCACAUUGGAACUGUGACACGGUCCAAACUCCUACGGGAGGCAGCAGUGGGGAAUAUUGCACAAUGGGCGAAAGCCUGAUGCAGCAACGCCGCGUGAGCGAUGAAGGCCUUCGGGUCGUAAAGCUCUGUCCUCAAGGAAGAUAAUGACGGUACUUGAGGAGGAAGCCCCGGCUAACUACGUGCCAGCCGCCGCCGUAA